RNAcentral lists this ribosomal RNA (520 nucleotides) under uncultured bacterium. RNAcentral's name for it is "partial 16S ribosomal RNA". It matches the Rfam family "Bacterial small subunit ribosomal RNA", at positions 28 to 507 of the family's 1533-position model. The record is from RNAcentral.
GACGAACGCUGGCGGCGUGCCUAAUACAUGCAAGUCGAACGCGCUCUCGUUUAGAUUGAAGGAGUUUGCUCCUGAUUGAUAAACAUUUGAGUGAGUGGCGGACGGGUGAGUAACACGUGGGUAACCUGCCCUAAAGUGGGGGAUAACAUUUGGAAACAGAUGCUAAUACCGCAUAAAACCUAACACCGCAUGGUGUAGGGUUGAAAGAUGGUUUCGGCUAUCACUUUAGGAUGGACCCGCGGUGCAUUAGUUAGUUGGUGAGGUAAAGGCUCACCAAGACCGUGAUGCAUAGCCGACCUGAGAGGGUAAUCGGCCACACUGGGACUGAGACACGGCCCAGACUCCUACGGGAGGCAGCAGUAGGGAAUCUUCCACAAUGGACGAAAGUCUGAUGGAGCAACGCCGCGUGAGUGAAGAAGGUUUUCGGAUCGUAAAACUCUGUUGUUGGAGAAGAAUGUAUCUGAUAGUAACUGAUCAGGUAGUGACGGUAUCCAACCAGAAAGCCACGGCUAACUACGUG